GAUGAACGCUGGCGGCGUGCUUAACACAUGCAAGUCGAACGGAAAGGCCCAAGCUUGCUUGGGUACUCGAGUGGCGAACGGGUGAGUAACACGUGGGUGAUCUGCCCUGCACUUCGGGAUAAGCCUGGGAAACUGGGUCUAAUACCGGAUAGGACCACAUUUUGGAUGGUGUGGUGGAAAGUUUUUCGGUGUGGGAUGAGCUCGCGGCCUAUCAGCUUGUUGGUGGGGUAAUGGCCUACCAAGGCGUCGACGGGUAGCCGGCCUGAGAGGGUGUACGGCCACAUUGGGACUGAGAUACGGCCCAGACUCCUACGGGAGGCAGCAGUGGGGAAUAUUGCACAAUGGGCGCAAGCCUGAUGCAGCGACGCCGCGUGGGGGAUGACGGCCUUCGGGUUGUAAACUCCUUUCGCUAGGGACGAAGCGCGAGUGACGGUACCUGGAGAAGAAGCACCGGCUAACUACGUG
Molecule: ribosomal RNA, 465 nt
Filed under: uncultured bacterium
Lineage: Bacteria
Description: partial 16S ribosomal RNA
Rfam family: Bacterial small subunit ribosomal RNA
Source: RNAcentral